RNAcentral lists this ribosomal RNA (510 nucleotides) under uncultured Glomus. RNAcentral describes it as "SSU rRNA". It matches the Rfam family "Eukaryotic small subunit ribosomal RNA", at positions 569 to 1081 of the family's 1831-position model. Lineage: Eukaryota; Fungi; Glomeromycota; Glomeromycetes; Glomerales; Glomeraceae. The record is from RNAcentral.
AGCAGCCGCGGUAAUUCCAGCUCCAAUAGCGUAUAUUAAAGUUGUUGCAGUUAAAAAAGCUCGUAGUUGAAUUUCGGGGUCAGUAGGUUGGUCAUGCCACUGGUAUGUACUGGCCUCACUGAUUCCUCCUUCCUGAUGAGCCGUAAUGCCAUUAAUUUGGUGUUGCGAGGAAUCUGGACUGUUACUUUGAAAAAAUUAGAGUGUUUAAAGCAGGCUAACGCUUGAAUACAUUAGCAUGGAAUAAUGAAAUAGGACGUUCGAUCUUAUUUUGUGGUUUCUAAGAUUGACGUAAUGAUUAAUAGGGAUAGUUGGGGGCAUUAGUAUUCAAUUGUCAGAGGUGAAAUUCUUGGAUUUAUUGAAGACUAACUACUGCGAAAGCAUUUGCCUAAGGAUGUUUUCAUUAAUACAAGAACGAAAGUUAGGGGAUCGAAGACGAUCAGAUACCGUCGUAGUCUUAACCAUAAACUAUGCCGACUAGGGAUCGGAUGAUGUAAUUUUUAUGACUCAUUC